GCACGCUUCCUCUAGCACAACCACAGCUAUGCACCAAUCCUCCUGGGUUCAGAGAUGGAACUUGGGUUAAAUGCAUGGAAUUUAUUCUUAGUCCUUUUCUUAAUUACGACUUUUUAUUUCUCUGGUGUUCUCUAGGGGAGGGGUUAGAGAAGAGAGGAAAAGGAAGAAAGAAAGGGGGCAGGGAAAUAUAGAUUCAAUGCUUUUGUUUUGUUUCUGGGCUGCUUGCUAUCAGCAAAGUAGAGAGAUUUAACGGAUCUUGCCGAGAAUGCAAGCCUCAUUCCAAGGAAGCCAGAGCUCAGAAGACAUGGAACAAAUACAAUGAAAACAUAACUUGAGGUCGGAAAAUGUCCCCUGAAUAUUUAUGUCAAUGUCCUACCUUAGUGAAUAUUACUUAAUACUGUGGCUCCUUUAAAGCAUGUAAGUAGCUUGCAUUGUGAUUUCAUUAUGAAGUCAGAUGGAAUGAGGAGUGUGUAAAUCCAGAAUCAGAAUCCCAGCGACGAAGCUUUUCUUGCUCUGUUACCUUGGAAAAUGCUUUGAACCAGACCAGAUAAGAAAAGUAAAAGUCUGGAGUGUAAUCCUUCCAAUUGUCUUUUGGCUUCUCUUCUACUUCUACAAAAAGUUCAACAAAAAUUAGAAUUUGAAACAACGGAAAGAGAGAAAUUUUAGGUUAGUAGCUAAAUCCCCAAGGAUACUAAUUAGAGAAAGAUGUUGGAAUUGCCUUAAUGAGUCACUGCCAACGCAAGUCCUAAGGAAGCAAAGACUGUGAGUAAGCAAAGGUAGCCAGCUGCUGGGAAGAGGACAAUAGAGGAAAAGGUCAGAGGGACUUUAAAAGACUGACUGUGGGCUCCCUGAGGGAAGGAGGGAUGGAGAGAGUAUCGGGUCCUAUAGAAUACCUUAAUUGUUUUUAUGACUUCUCUUUUCCAUAUCCAGUUCACAUGUACUCCUUUCUGUGCAUUAAAUUGAGUUUCUAUUGGCUUCUUUGUAACAAAAAGAACUGAACAGAAACACAUAUCUAUUGGACAAAGAGCAAUAAAAUGAUAUAAUAACUGUAUCUGAGGGUUUUUUCAUUUUAAAGAAUAAAACAAAACAAAAAUCAAACAAAAAAAACCAUCUAUCUGAUGUUGCUCCACUCCCAACAGCAUCACUAACCGGUAUGUACCCAGCUUCAGCUAAAUAUCCCUAAAACACCUCUUACUUUCCAAGGCAAAGUCUCCCACUGUUGAGUCGUGUUGACUGAUAAAAAGUUCCCUCUGGGGUAAAAAAAUGAAAUUAGUUUUACCUAUCCUGGGGUCACCUCCAAAUACAUAUGCCUGUAAUGUAUUUCAAUUAGAAUACAUUACACACUCCCUGUCACCUUCACUAGGAGAAAAUCAGCAAAGUCAACCAGCAUUUUUAGUUGUCACAACUAAAAGGUACUCCUAGCAUCUGGUAGGCGGAGGCCAGGGAUGCUGCUAAACAUCCUACAAUGGACAGGACAGCCUCUCACAACAAAGAAUUUCCAGCCCAAAAUGUCAACUUUGCCAAAGUAGAAAAGCCCUGUACUAAAGGAGACCUUCCAUAUAAUAGACGGAACCCCCUCUUAGAAGAGAGGCCUUAGAAAUGCUAUGGUUUUGGAGCUUUUCUAUUGAGCCCCUCAUAUUUUCCAUCAACAGCAAGGCCCAGGUAUUAAUUAUAUGGUCUUAUUCUGUGACCUGGUUUGUCAUUCCUGAAAUAGCUAAAAGUAAAACAGAUGUCAUUUCAAUAUCAAGAAGCAGUGGAACAGAAAGUGCCAAGGAGCAGGUGUAUCAGAUACUCAGAGGUGGUAAAGUCAUGGCUGUCCAUGCUUUGGAGCUAGGGCAUCUACAAUGCAAAGGAAGAUUUUAAAUGUGAAUUUUGUGUUCUGGUCUAUGAGUAGAUGAUUCACGACACUAGUUUGAAAAUGCCUGAGUAAUAACUUGACUUUGUUUCUGCACUGGACAUCUGUUGUUUUUGUUCACUGGCAUCACUUCCCUUUUCUUUUUUUCUUUCUUUUUUUUUUUCUUUUUUUUUUUUUUUUUUUUUUUUGAGACACAGUCUUGCUCUGUCCCCCAGGCUGGAGUGCAAUGGCAUGAUCUCGGCUCACUGCAACCUCCACCUCCCAGGUUCUAGCGAUUCUCCUGCCUCAGCCUCCUGAGUAGCUGGGAAUGCAUGCGCAUGCCACCACGUCUGGCCAAUUUUAUUUUAACUAGAGACAGGGUUUCAUCAUGUUGGCCAAGCUGGUCUCGAACUCCCGACCUCAGGUGAUUCCUCUGCCUCAGCCUCCCAAAGUGCUGGGAUUACAGGCAUGAGCCACCAUUCCCGGCUCCCUUCCCUUUUCUUAUGGGAACAGCAUUGAAUUUUCCUUUGAGAAAAUACCUCUCCCUAUAGGGGUAGUUCCUACAAAGUUUCGAUGGAAUUAUGUCAGAGGCUCUUAUACUUUCACACCAUGGCUUGGCAAGUAUCUCAAUCUAGGCCAAUCAGUCUUUGUUUCCUUAGGAUAUACAUCUUGAGUGAAGUAAUGCGUGAAUGGGAAACAUUUAAAGCUGAUUCAUGUGAAUUGGGAUAGUUCCUGAACAGAAUGCCUACGGUUCUUUCUAU
Molecule: long non-coding RNA, 2595 nt
Filed under: Homo sapiens (human)
Lineage: Eukaryota; Metazoa; Chordata; Mammalia; Primates; Hominidae
Description: HSALNT0154468
Source: RNAcentral